AAAGAGGAAGUGUAAUUGGUUUUUGCACUUGUGGGCGUUGAGAAAUUAAUAUUUCUGGUUCUACAAAGAAAGAGAGAGAUGGAAAUAAGAAGGCAAAGUAACAAGAGAGAGGAGGGCAUGGGUGUGACUACUGGCCAUGAAGAGACUACUACUACUGUUGAUUGGGGAGGCAGACCCGUAACCCUAAGAAGCAUGGUGGGAUGAAAGCAGCUUCCUUUGUUUUUGGUUUGUACCUCUUUUUGUGUCACGC
RNAcentral lists this long non-coding RNA (250 nucleotides) under Vitis vinifera (wine grape). RNAcentral's name for it is "long non-coding RNA (VVIN_LNC003973)". The record is from RNAcentral. Lineage: Eukaryota; Viridiplantae; Streptophyta; Magnoliopsida; Vitales; Vitaceae.